Molecule: ribosomal RNA, 333 nt
Filed under: uncultured eukaryote
Lineage: Eukaryota
Description: partial 18S ribosomal RNA
Rfam family: Eukaryotic small subunit ribosomal RNA
Source: RNAcentral
CCCUUAGAUGUUCUGGGCCGCACGCGUGCUACACUGAUGCAUUCAACGAGUCUAAAACCUGGUCUGAUAGGGCUGGGUAAUCUUUUGAAAGUGCAUCGUGAUUGGGAUAGAUGAUUGCAAUUCUUCAUCUUCAACGAGGAAUGCCUAGUAAACGCAAGUCAUCAGCUUGCAUUGAUUACGUCCCUGCCCUUUGUACACACCGCCCGUCGCUACUACCGAUUGAACGGUUUAGUGAGGGCCUCGGAUUGGUCUCGGCCCGCUCUUUACCGGGCGGCGCCGUUGGUCGAGAAGACGCUCGAACUUGAUCGUUUAGAGGAAGUAAAAGUCGUAACA